GACGAACGCUGGCGGCGUGCUUAACACAUGCAAGUCGAACGGAAAGGCCCUGCUUUUGUGGGGUGCUCGAGUGGCGAACGGGUGAGUAACACGUGAGUAACCUGCCCUUGACUUUGAGAUAACUUCAGGAAACUGGGGCUAAUACCGGAUAGGAGCUCCUGCUGCAUGGUGGGGGUUGGAAAGUUUCGGCGGUUGGGGAUGGACUCGCGGCUUAUCAGCUUGUUGGUGGGGUAGUUGCUUACCAAGGCUUUGACGGGUAGCCGGCCUGAGAGGGUGACCGGGCACAUGGGGACUGAGAGACGGCGCAGAAGCGUACGGGAGGCAGCAGUGGAGAACAUGGCGCAAUGGGCCGAAGCCUGAUGCAGCAACGCCGGGUGCGGGAUGACGGCCUUUGGGUUGUAAACCGCUUUCGCCUGUGACGAAGCGUGAGUGACGGUAAUGGGUAAAAAAGCACCGGCUAACUACGUG
RNAcentral lists this ribosomal RNA (468 nucleotides) under uncultured bacterium. RNAcentral describes it as "partial 16S ribosomal RNA". It matches the Rfam family "Bacterial small subunit ribosomal RNA", at positions 28 to 507 of the family's 1533-position model. The record is from RNAcentral.